This 478-nucleotide ribosomal RNA is filed under the name uncultured bacterium. RNAcentral's name for it is "partial 16S ribosomal RNA". It matches the Rfam family "Bacterial small subunit ribosomal RNA", at positions 28 to 507 of the family's 1533-position model. The record is from RNAcentral.
GAUGAACGCUGGCGGCGUGCUUAACACAUGCAAGUCGAACGAGAAAUGGAGACGGAAACCUUCGGGCGGAAGGCUUCAUUUCGAGUGGCGGACGGGUGAGUAACGCGUGGGUAACCUGCCUCAUACAGGGGGAUAACAGUUGGAAACGACUGUUAAUACCGCAUAAGACCACAGCACCGCAUGGUGCGGUGGUAAAAACUCCGGUGGUAUGAGAUGGACCCGCGUUCGAUUAGCCAGUUGGCGGGGUAACGGCCCACCAAAGCGACGAUCGAUAGCCGAUAAGAGAGGAAGACAGGCCACAAUGGGACUGAGACACGGAACAAAAUCCUACGGGAGGGAGCAGUGGGGAAUAUAGCAAAAUGGGGGAAAACCUGAUGCAGCGACGACGCGUGAGUGAAGAAGUACUUCGGUAAGUAAAGCUCUAUCAGAAGGGAAGAAAAUGACGGUACCUGAGGAAGAAGCCCCGGCUAACUACGUG